GUUCCGUAGGUGAACCUGCGGAAGGAUCAUUAUUGAAAUAGCACGACGGGAAGCUGUUGCUGGCCCUAGUGGCCGUGCACGCUUUCUGUCCUUCAUUUCUCCAUCUAUUUGUGCACCUCUUGCGUAGACCCCUCUGUUAGGACUGCUUUGCAAAAUUGAUUGUGGGCUUUCCUUGUUUCUACGUCGUCAUAUACACCAGUGUAACGAUUUGGAAUGAAUGGAAUUUUGAUGCAAUAUAUAAAGCACAACUUUCAGCAACGGAUCUCUUGGCUCUCGCAUCGAUGAAGAACGCAGCGAAAUGCGAUAAGUAAUGUGAAUUGCAGAAUUCAGUGAAUCAUCGAAUCUUUGAACGCAUCUUGCGCUCCUUGGUAUUCCUAGGAGCAUGCCUGUUUGAGUGUCAUAAAUAUCUCAACCGCACCCUAUGGUGGUGUGGCUUGGAUUUGGGGGUGGCAGGCUUAGUCUGCUCCCCUGAAAUACAUUGGCGGUGCCCGACGUGAUGUGAUAAAUUAUCCGCAUCUGUUUAUGAGCUGCCGUGUCGUGUUGGAGUUGAUAAACUUGACCUCAAAUCAGGUAGGACCACCCGCUGAACUUAAGCAUAUCAAUAAGCGGAGGAAAAGAAACUAACCAGGAUUCCCUUAGUAACUGCGAGUGAAGUGGGAAGAGCUCAAAUUUGUAAUCUGGUGGCCCUUGGCCAUCCGAGUUGAAUCUAAAGAA
This 714-nucleotide ribosomal RNA is filed under the name uncultured fungus. Its description in RNAcentral is "eukaryotic LSU rRNA". The stretch from base 247 to 400 matches the Rfam family "5.8S ribosomal RNA". Lineage: Eukaryota; Fungi. The record is from RNAcentral.